GAUUUGAACGACGCCAAGCUGUUGGCUAAGCUUUUCGACGUGGUGGCUUUUACUCACGUGAUGCAUUUGGCGGCUCAAGCUGGAGUCAGGUACGCCAUGGAAAACCCCAACUCUUAUGUUCAUAGCAACAUCGCCGGUCUCGUCACGCUUCUCGAAAUUUGCAAAUCCGCUAAUCCCCAGCCAGCCGUUGUCUGGGCCUCCUCCAGUUCCGUUUACGGUCUCAACGAAAAGGUUCCUUUCUCUGAGGCCGACAGGACCGACCAGCCGGCUAGUUUGUAUGCCGCCACCAAGAAGGCAGGCGAAGAAAUA
This 309-nucleotide long non-coding RNA is filed under the name Gossypium barbadense (sea-island cotton). Its description in RNAcentral is "long non-coding RNA (GBAR_LNC004601)". Lineage: Eukaryota; Viridiplantae; Streptophyta; Magnoliopsida; Malvales; Malvaceae. The record is from RNAcentral.